UGAGGUAAACUGUUUUAUUUAAAGUACGUGGAUCAUCUAUAGUUUUAAUGGUGUACGUCGCGAUAUCAUCCUCGUCCAAGAAAAUUGCUGCAACCAAAAACAACAGAAAUUUAAAAAAUAAAGAAAAAAGAGGAAGAAGAACAGAAUUGG
Molecule: long non-coding RNA, 150 nt
Organism: Telopea speciosissima
Lineage: Eukaryota; Viridiplantae; Streptophyta; Magnoliopsida; Proteales; Proteaceae
Exons: 3
Source: RefSeq, a predicted model, not a curated record